UUAAGCGACUAAGCGUACACGGUGGAUGCCCUGGCAGUCAGAGGCGAUGAAGGGCGUGCUAAUCUGCGAUAAGCGCCGGUAAGGUGAUAUGAACCGUUAUAACCGGCGAUACCCGAAUGGGGAAACCCAGUGUGACUCGUCACACUAUCAUUAACUGAAUCCAUAGGUUAAUGAGGCGAACCGGGGGAACUGAAACAUCUAAGUACCCCGAGGAAAAGAAAUCAACCGAGAUUCCCCCAGUAGCGGCGAGCGAACGGGGAGGAGCCCAGAGCCUGAAUCAGCAUGUGUGUUAGUGGAAGCGUCUGGAAAGGCGCGCGAUACAGGGUGACAGCCCCGUACACAAAAGCGCAUGUGCUGUGAGCUCGAUGAGUAGGGCGGGACACGUGGUAUCCUGUCUGAAUAUGGGGGGACCAUCCUCCAAGGCUAAAUACUCCUGACUGACCGAUAGUGAACCAGUACCGUGAGGGAAAGGCGAAAAGAACCCCGGCGAGGGGAGUGAAAAAGAACCUGAAACCGUGUACGUACAAGCAGUGGGAGCACAGGUUUACCUGUGUGACUGCGUACCUUUUGUAUAAUGGGUCAGCGACUUAUAUUCUGUAGCAAGGUUAACCGUAUAGGGGAGCCGUAGGGAAACCGAGUCUUAACCGGGCGUUAAGUUGCAGGGUAUAGACCCGAAACCCGGUGAUCUAGCCAUGGGCAGGUUGAAGGUUGGGUAACACUAACUGGAGGACCGAACCGACUAAUGUUGAAAAAUUAGCGGAUGACCUGUGGCUGGGGGUGAAAGGCCAAUCAAACCGGGAGAUAGCUGGUUCUCCCCGAAAGCUAUUUAGGUAGCGCCUCGUGAAUUCAUCUCCGGGGGUAGAGCACUGUUUCGGCUAGGGGGCCAUCCCGGCUUACCAACCCGAUGCAAACUGCGAAUACCGGAGAAUGUUAUCACGGGAGACACACGGCGGGUGCUAACGUCCGUCGUGAAGAGGGAAACAACCCAGACCGCCAGCUAAGGUCCCAAAGUCAUGGUUAAGUGGGAAACGAUGUGGGAAGGCCCAGACAGCCAGGAUGUUGGCUUAGAAGCAGCCAUCAUUUAAAGAAAGCGUAAUAGCUCACUGGUCGAGUCGGCCUGCGCGGAAGAUGUAACGGGGCUAAACCAUGCACCGAAGCUGCGGCAGCGAACGUAUCACCCAAGACAACUUUACGGAGUUGACGAUUGACGGAGCGAAGCGACGUCAAAGCGUUCAUUAAAGUCGAGUUGGCUUAGGGAUACGUUCGUUGGGUAGGGGAGCGUUCUGUAAGCCUGUGAAGGUGUGUCGUGAGGCAUGCUGGAGGUAUCAGAAGUGCGAAUGCUGACAUAAGUAACGAUAAAGCGGGUGAAAAGCCCGCUCGCCGGAAGACCAAGGGUUCCUGUCCAACGUUAAUCGGGGCAGGGUGAGUCGACCCCUAAGGCGAGGCCGAAAGGCGUAGUCGAUGGGAAACGGGUUAAUAUUCCCGUACUUGGUGUUACUGCGAAGGGGGGACGGAGAAGGCUAUGUUGGCCGGGCGACGGUUGUCCCGGUUUAAGCGUGUAGGUGUGUGUUCCAGGUAAAUCCGGUUCACUUUAACACUGAGGCGUGACGACGAGGCACUACGGUGCUGAAGCAACAAAUGCCCUGCUUCCAGGAAAAGCCUCUAAGCAUCAGGUAACACGAAAUCGUACCCCAAACCGACACAGGUGGUCAGGUAGAGAAUACCAAGGCGCUUGAGAGAACUCGGGUGAAGGAACUAGGCAAAAUGGUGCCGUAACUUCGGGAGAAGGCACGCUGACACGUAGGUGAAGUGAUUUACUCAUGGAGCUGAAGUCAGUCGAAGAUACCAGCUGGCUGCAACUGUUUAUUAAAAACACAGCACUGUGCAAACACGAAAGUGGACGUAUACGGUGUGACGCCUGCCCGGUGCCGGAAGGUUAAUUGAUGGGGUCAGCGCAAGCGAAGCUCCUGAUCGAAGCCCCGGUAAACGGCGGCCGUAACUAUAACGGUCCUAAGGUAGCGAAAUUCCUUGUCGGGUAAGUUCCGACCUGCACGAAUGGCGUAAUGAUGGCCAGGCUGUCUCCACCCGAGACUCAGUGAAAUUGAACUCGCUGUGAAGAUGCAGUGUACCCGCGGCAAGACGGAAAGACCCCGUGAACCUUUACUAUAGCUUGACACUGAACAUUGAGCCUUGAUGUGUAGGAUAGGUGGGAGGCUUUGAAGUGUGGACGCCAGUCUGCAUGGAGCCGACCUUGAAAUACCACCCUUUAAUGUUUGAUGUUCUAACGUGGACCCGUAAUCCGGGUUGCGGACAGUGUCUGGUGGGUAGUUUGACUGGGGCGGUCUCCUCCUAAAGAGUAACGGAGGAGCACGAAGGUUGGCUAAUCCUGGUCGGACAUCAGGAGGUUAGUGCAAUGGCAUAAGCCAGCUUGACUGCGAGCGUGACGGCGCGAGCAGGUGCGAAAGCAGGUCAUAGUGAUCCGGUGGUUCUGAAUGGAAGGGCCAUCGCUCAACGGAUAAAAGGUACUCCGGGGAUAACAGGCUGAUACCGCCCAAGAGUUCAUAUCGACGGCGGUGUUUGGCACCUCGAUGUCGGCUCAUCACAUCCUGGGGCUGAAGUAGGUCCCAAGGGUAUGGCUGUUCGCCAUUUAAAGUGGUACGCGAGCUGGGUUUAGAACGUCGUGAGACAGUUCGGUCCCUAUCUGCCGUGGGCGCUGGAGAACUGAGGGGGGCUGCUCCUAGUACGAGAGGACCGGAGUGGACGCAUCACUGGUGUUCGGGUUGUCAUGCCAAUGGCACUGCCCGGUAGCUAAAUGCGGAAGAGAUAAGUGCUGAAAGCAUCUAAGCACGAAACUUGCCCCGAGAUGAGUUCUCCCUGAGACUUAGAGUCUCCUGAAGGAACGUUGAAGACGACGACGUUGAUAGGCCGGGUGUGUAAGCGCAGCGAUGCGUUGAGCUAACCGGUACUAAUGAACCGUGAGGCUUAACCUU
Molecule: ribosomal RNA, 2990 nt
Filed under: Salmonella enterica subsp. enterica serovar Typhimurium
Lineage: Bacteria; Pseudomonadati; Pseudomonadota; Gammaproteobacteria; Enterobacterales; Enterobacteriaceae
Description: bacterial LSU rRNA
Rfam family: Bacterial large subunit ribosomal RNA
Source: RNAcentral